AUUAAUCCAUCUUUUUCGAGAAGUCGACAAAUCUUUCAAAAGAAUGUAUUUUGUGGUUAUAUGGAGUAAAUGGUGUGCUACUAUACCUGCAUCCUGAAUUCUUUUAAAAUCCCGCAGUUUUCGAUGGCCACCAAAAAAUAAAAGUGCUACUACUGAAAGCAAAAAAGGUUCAUCACCUCGUAUCGAUUGGCAUACAAUAACUUAUUCUAAACUUUUAGGACCUUUUGCAACCUACAAUGAAGCCAGAAAGAUUGAACAAAAAUCUAUGGACAUUUCUACCAACGAUGAAGAAGCAUUUGUAGAAAUAACUAAAAAAGUAAAUAAUAAAUUACCAGAUAAGCAAACAAUAAUCAAACCUAAACGCUUUGAUUUUUCGGAAUCGGAAGAUGAAGAAAAUUCAUGUAUGUUUUUAUUUUCUUUACAUAAUUUUUUUAUAUAUUUAAUUAAAAUACGAAUGGUA
Molecule: long non-coding RNA, 460 nt
Organism: Wasmannia auropunctata (little fire ant)
Lineage: Eukaryota; Metazoa; Arthropoda; Insecta; Hymenoptera; Formicidae
Exons: 3
Source: RefSeq, a predicted model, not a curated record